CCAAGGUACGGUGAGGCCCGGGUGGGGCCGGGCAGGCCGAGAGGCAAGGGCCGCUAUGGGCGGCCACGUGGGCGGCCCGCGCCUCGGCCUCCAACCCUCGCUGGCUUGCGUAUUCCGGGCCUCUCCAGGCGCCUGGGCCUGGGAUGCUCGAGGUCUUUGGGGUCGGGGAGUAAGAGCUGCUGGCCAAGACUCCGGUCUCGGGGGCUGCAGGGCGCGUGACCUUGUGGUCUGCGGAAGAACAGCCAUGGCCAAACUGGGCUCUCGGCUUCACCUGGGGACCUGGAGGCGACCGAUCUCCUCUGUCGUGGCCCACUUGUGAUCUUUCCAUUAGCGUCGGCCAUCCUUCUUCCAAUUGCCCCCAGAUCCCUUCAUUCAUUAGGUCAUUCCGCCUUCGGUGGGGGAAGCUCGCGAUCUAGCACAGAAUACAGAUAUUAGACGCGAGGACUCUGGGCGGGGGCGGCUUUGUUGGUGGCUCGUGUGUCGGCCGCAGCUUAGCCGCAGUGCUGAGAAACCCAACGAAAGGUUUCUAUUCCUUUAUCCUGUUG
Molecule: long non-coding RNA, 545 nt
Filed under: Rattus norvegicus (Norway rat)
Lineage: Eukaryota; Metazoa; Chordata; Mammalia; Rodentia; Muridae
Description: long non-coding RNA NONRATT006739
Source: RNAcentral